UACGUAGGAGGCAAGCGUUGUCCGGAAUUACUGGGCGUAAAGCGCGUGUAGGUGGUGGGACAAGUCUGCUGUGAAAGCCCCGGGCUUAACCUGGGAAUUGCGGUUGAAACUACAGGGCUAGAAUCUGGCAGAGGGGGGUGGAAUUCCACGUGUAGCAGUGAAAUGCGUAGAGAUGUGGAGGAACACCGAUGGCGAAGGCAGCCCCCUGGGCUGAGAUUGACGCUCAGGCACGAAAGCGUGGGGAGCAAACAGG
RNAcentral lists this ribosomal RNA (253 nucleotides) under uncultured bacterium. RNAcentral describes it as "partial 16S ribosomal RNA". It matches the Rfam family "Bacterial small subunit ribosomal RNA", at positions 524 to 776 of the family's 1533-position model. The record is from RNAcentral.